GAUGAACGCUGGCGGCGUGCCUAAUACAUGCAGGUCGAGCGAACAGACGAGGAGCUUGCUCCUCUGACGUUAGCGGCGGACGGGUGAGUAACACGUGGAUAACCUACCUAUAAGACUGGGAUAACUUCGGGAAACCGGAGCUAAUACCGGAUAAUAUAUUGAACCGCAUGGUUCAAUAGUGAAAGACGGUUUUGCUGUCACUUAUAGAUGGAUCCGCGCCGCAUUAGCUAGUUGGUAAGGUAACGGCUUACCAAGGCAACGAUGCGUAGCCGACCUGAGAGGGUGAUCGGCCACACUGGAACUGAGACACGGUCCAGACUCCUACGGGAGGCAGCAGUAGGGAAUCUUCCGCAAUGGGCGAAAGCCUGACGGAGCAACGCCGCGUGAGUGAUGAAGGUCUUCGGAUCGUAAAACUCUGUUAUUAGGGAAGUACAAAUGUGUAAGUAACUAUGCACGUCUUGACGGUACCUAAUCAGAAAGCCACGGCUAACUACGUG
RNAcentral lists this ribosomal RNA (497 nucleotides) under uncultured bacterium. RNAcentral's name for it is "partial 16S ribosomal RNA". It matches the Rfam family "Bacterial small subunit ribosomal RNA", at positions 28 to 507 of the family's 1533-position model. The record is from RNAcentral.